This 497-nucleotide ribosomal RNA is filed under the name uncultured bacterium. Its description in RNAcentral is "partial 16S ribosomal RNA". It matches the Rfam family "Bacterial small subunit ribosomal RNA", at positions 28 to 507 of the family's 1533-position model. The record is from RNAcentral.
GAUGAACGCUGGCGGCGUGCCUAAUACAUGCAAGUCGAGCGAACGGACGAGAAGCUUGCUUCUCUGAUGUUAGCGGCGGACGGGUGAGUAACACGUGGAUAACCUACCUAUAAGACUGGGAUAACCUCGGGAAACCGGAGCUAAUACCGGAUGAUAUUUUGAACCGCAUGGUUCAAAAGUGAAAGACGGUCUUGCUGUCACUUAUAGAUGGAUCCGCGCUGCAUUAGCUAGUUGGUAAGGUAACGGCUUACCAAGGCAACGAUGCAUAGCCGACCUGAGAGGGUGAUCGGCCACACUGGAACUGAGACACGGUCCAGGCUCCUACGGGAGGCAGCAGUAGGGAAUCUUCCGCAAUGGGCGAAAGCCUGACGGAGCAACGCCGCGUGAGUGAUGAAGGUCUUCGGAUCGUAAAACUCUGUUAUUAGGGAAGAACAUAUGUGUAAGUAACUGUGCACAUCUUGACGGUACCUAAUCAGAAAGCCACGGCUAACUACGUG